This 133-nucleotide ribosomal RNA is filed under the name uncultured bacterium. RNAcentral's name for it is "partial 16S ribosomal RNA". The record is from RNAcentral.
CACGGAGUUAGCCGGUGCUUAUUCAUAUAGUACCGUCAUUAUCUUCCUAUAUAAAAGGAGUUUACGCUCCGAAAAGUGUCAUCCUCCACGCGGCGUUGCUGCAUCAGAGUUUCCUCCAUUGUGCAAUAUUCCC